GCCAGAGUAGCUCAGUGGUAGAGCACUGCUUUCGUAAAGCAGCGGUCGUCGGUUCGAAUCCGAUCUCUGGCUCCA
Molecule: transfer RNA, 75 nt
Filed under: Engelhardtia mirabilis
Lineage: Bacteria; Pseudomonadati; Planctomycetota; Planctomycetia
Description: Planctomycetes bacterium Pla133 tRNA-Thr
Rfam family: tRNA
About the family: Transfer RNA (tRNA) molecules are approximately 80 nucleotides in length. Their secondary structure includes four short double-helical elements and three loops (D, anti-codon, and T loops).
Source: RNAcentral